GGCCACCUCACAUUGAAACACCGGUUCUCAUAUGAUCAUCAAAGUUAAGCAACAUUGAGUCUGGUUAUACCUAGAUGGGUCACUGUUUGGGAAUACUAGGUGCUGUUA
Non-coding RNA from Acanthosepion pharaonis, 108 nucleotides. The record is from the annotation of a GenBank genome assembly. NCBI's taxonomy places the organism in Eukaryota, Metazoa, Mollusca, Cephalopoda, Sepiida, Sepiidae.